AAAUGAGACCACGGAGGCUUCGGCUUCAGUGGUUAAAGGUGGCCUCUGCUUGCAAGCUAUCGCUUAGAGAUGGGCCUGCGCACCAUUAGCUAGUGGUGGGUAACGCCUACCAAGGCAAAGAUGGUUAGCUGGUCUGAGAGGAUGAUCAGCCACACUGGGACUGAGACACGGCCCAGACUCCUACGGGAGGCAGCAGUGGGGAAUCUUGCGCAAUGGCGAAAGCCUGACGCAGCAACGCCGCGUGGUGAUGAAGGCCUUCGGGUCGUAAAGCCCUGUCGGAAGGAACGAAUGCUCCCAUCGUGAAUAACGGCGGGAGGUGACGGUACCUUCAAAGGAAGCACCGGCUAACUCCGUGCCAGCAGCCGCGGUAA
RNAcentral lists this ribosomal RNA (371 nucleotides) under uncultured delta proteobacterium. RNAcentral's name for it is "bacterial SSU rRNA". It matches the Rfam family "Bacterial small subunit ribosomal RNA", at positions 171 to 523 of the family's 1533-position model. The record is from RNAcentral. Lineage: Bacteria; Deltaproteobacteria.